Molecule: unclassified non-coding RNA, 76 nt
Filed under: Gigaspora albida
Lineage: Eukaryota; Fungi; Glomeromycota; Glomeromycetes; Diversisporales; Gigasporaceae
Description: ITS1
Source: RNAcentral
AAAAAAUGAGGUAUUUUAUACCUCUUGUAUUUAAAACCCAACUCUAAAAUAUAAUUUUUUUUUAAAAAAAAAAAAA